GGUGGUGCAUGGUUGUCGUCAGCUCGUGUCGUGAGAUGUUGGGUUAAGUCCCGCAACGAGCGCAACCCUUAUUCUUAGUUGCCAUCAUUUAGUUGGGCACUCUAAGGAGACUGCCGGUGACAAACCGGAGGAAGGUGGGGAUGACGUCAAAUCAUCAUGCCCCUUAUGACCUGGGCUACACACGUGCUACAAUGGACGAUACAAAGAGUCGCGAACUCGCGAGGGUAAGCUAAUCUCAUAAAAUCGUUCUCAGUUCGGAUUGUAGGCUGCAACUCGCCUGCAUGAAGCCGGAAUCGCUAGUAAUCGCGGAUCAGCAUGCCGCGGUGAAUACGUUCCCGGGUCUUGUACACAC
RNAcentral lists this ribosomal RNA (352 nucleotides) under uncultured bacterium. RNAcentral describes it as "bacterial SSU rRNA". It matches the Rfam family "Bacterial small subunit ribosomal RNA", at positions 1037 to 1390 of the family's 1533-position model. The record is from RNAcentral.